This is a long non-coding RNA of Pomacea canaliculata, 932 nucleotides long. RefSeq lists it as uncharacterized. The transcript has 6 exons. The record is from RefSeq and is a predicted model, not a curated record. NCBI's taxonomy places the organism in Eukaryota, Metazoa, Mollusca, Gastropoda, Architaenioglossa, Ampullariidae.
CACUUUUCUAGCAUGCAGAUCCCGCCAAACUAUCAACCGCCGGCUCCGCCAAAACCAAACAACGCCGGACUACUGGCCCUCUACACACAUAUUGAAAUGGUACACUACUGGCAUCAUUUCAAGAUGGAAUGGAUUUGGAACCUGCUGUUGAGACAAGAUUCGGUGUGAGAUGGGCCUUGGGCCAUUUGAAACCUCAGCCACAUCUUCCCCGGUCAUUAUUGUUAGGUUAAGCAUUCUCUCUGUCACACACACACACACAAAGACUGUGUGUCGCUUAACCCACGUGCAAAACCCGCAGAGGGCAAGGUUCCAGCCGGAGCAGCUGCGCACCCAGGAAAAAAGCUUUUAAAAAGACUCGCUACCCCGGGGUUGGUGUCCGCGAGUCCCUGGCACGAAGGACCGGGCUGUCAGCAACCAGGGUACAGUUUCCAUAGACAUCGGGCAGCUUUAACAGCCACUUGCUGCCGUCUUGGACCUGCGCACCCAGGAAAAAGCCUUUAAAAAGACUCGCUACCCCGGUGUUGGUGUCCGCAAGGCCCUGGCAAGAAGAACCGGGCUGUCAGCAACCAGGGUACAGUUUCCAUAGACAGCGGGCAGCUUUAACAGCCACUUGCUGCCGUCUUGGACCUGUCCUGUGGCCAGUGACCCCUGACCCACGUGACCCUGUGUCUCCGUUUUUCGAGGCUGUUCCCCAGACUACAGCCCGCUUGGGUCCUCGUUGAAGAACCAUGUGGUCACCAUAGUUGCAAUCAGUCCAAUCUUCAUAACCGCUGACGUCGAGACAGUCCGGAUUUCUCCUCACAUGAAAAGUUUCUCCCCAAGUUUCUAAAGACUCAAAGUGCUACUCGUAGUUCCUUUUUCUUUAAAUUCAGAACUUCUGAAUAUUUCAAUUAAUUCAAGUUCCAACACAGAGAAAAUAGUAAAGAAUCUGA